This 5493-nucleotide long non-coding RNA is filed under the name Equus asinus (donkey). Its description in RNAcentral is "lncRNA (ENSEASG00005037519.1)". Lineage: Eukaryota; Metazoa; Chordata; Mammalia; Perissodactyla; Equidae. The record is from RNAcentral.
GUGGGUUAGGAGCCCAGUUCUGCACGUGGGUGGCGCGUUGAGUGAAGUUUGGUUUCUAGAAUUUUGUGUUAAUUAAAAAAGUUGGUGGCAAUCUGAUAUCAAUAGGGAAUUUGUUAAUUAAAAUAUAGUUAUGCACAUAUGAUAGAAUAUUUUGCAGCCCCGCCCACGCACAUCAGAAAUAAAAAAAUUCUUUUUGGUUUCUUUGCAAUAAUAGUACCAAUACUCUCUCCUUGAACUGUGCUGUUAUUUAUGGCUGGCGGGCAAGCUGUUAAAUCAAAGCUUUGCGGGUGAGACAAGAGCAGUUUCUUUCCGCAGGUCGAAUUAGAUUUAGGAACAAGCUGUGGAUAAAAUGACAGAAGGGUAAUGAUGAGUGAGCUUUCUUUGGGCCAAGUGGGUCUGUGAUAGGAGCUGGUGUGGUGGUCACUUGCAAAAGAACUCUCCUUAAGAAGGUCUUCUCCCAGAGGCGAGGAGCCCUCUGCAGAGGGGGUUAGGGCUGUACAGUUAAGAUGCAGAAGUUGAGGGGGUGUUGUUAGGGGCUUGCUGGAGGAGAGGCAUUGAAUGAGGAACCUCUGAAAAUGCUCCACAGAAAGAAUCAGCCCUGCGAACUUGCCACACCUGGAAGGCGCCACUGUUCUCCGGGUUUCCCAGGCGGGAGUCAGAGGACAAUUCGCAGCUACUCCUGAACUGCAAGCUCUCUGAGGGAUCCUGCGCAGAUCCCCUUCCCUAAGCUUGAAGCUAGAGGCAGGCCUCAGACACCCACCCACUGCCUUCGGUGGAGGCUCAUCAGGGCUCUCUACGCUUAGCCUUUCACGUCUUCGUUAUAGGCAGGAUGAUGGAUUCAAGGAGUUUUAAGCCAUAUCCUCCUUUGCAAAUGCACCAGGAUGGUCUGGUUCGCUACUCAUUUUGAAAUAUUGAUUCAUGCCUCCCGAAGAGGAAGAGUUCUGGUUUGAUGCUGCAGCAUUGUGCAAAUCAACUUGCAGGAGCAAGCAAACCUUUCAUGGAAGAGAAGAGCUUGCUCAACUCUUGCAGAAACUGAGGCUACCGCUAGAUUCAGACUUGUCCAAAUCCUGGUUCCACCCACGGGCAGAGCUCAGUUCUAAGCAGUUCUUUCUCAGUGUGCUUCCUGUGGGUGCCAUUAUAUUGAGAGAGCUGAAUUCAAAGGAGUGCCAGCAGAGGGGAACUGUGUCCUUCCCUAUUGACUAUCUCAGGCAGAUCCUGUAACUUCUUUAGUCAUCUCAGAUAAUAAAAAGUCCUCAAGUCGUUUUCAGACCCAAGGGUAAUCUUUGAGUAAUUAAAAUUCUAGUUGAGUGUCAUCAUGAUGUAACAGCUUUCCCUUAUCCAUUUGAAAGCUCGUUUGCACCUUCGUUUCAAGCCUGAUUAAAAAAAUAUCAAACCACACAGAAGAGUUUAUUAAAAAAGCAAUAGUCACCUGCCCCACCCCUCUCCCCAUCCUCAGGCUCACCGCCCAAGAAGGAGCCGUUGAUAAACUCUUGUUCGUUUUUGUGUUUGAGUGGUAAAUUUUAGUUGUAGGCAAAUUUACUUCAACCUCAGCUUCUCAGUUAGUACUCAGGUUCUCCCACCUGGCAGUGUUAAUGUUUUGGAGAAAUGAGGGGAGACCCCUUACAGACAAGCUGCGGCACUUGAGCCCUCUCACCUGGACCUUGCCCCGCUGAUGGUUUUGAGACAGCAGGUAAACUGAAGGCCUGUAUGAAGCACCAGAACUCCAGGCUUGCUGCUGUGGUUUUUUUUAAGGCCAUUUGUUUAAAAGCUUUUUAAAAAUAGGAGUGAUGGUUUGUCAGAAGUCAUGCUUUGGUAACUUUUUGGACCCAAAAGCCUGCUCUUGUAAGCCUGGCUGCGGUAGUAUUUGCAUGCAUUGGGUGUGGCUUUGAUUGCACUGCACUCAUGUGUUUGUUAAGUCUGUCUCUUGGGAGCAAUGCUCCUCCUGUGCCUUACUGUGUACAAAGAAUUGACUCAGUACAGCUUGUGCUGCCUUAAGACCAAGACCCUGACAGCGGACCCUCCUUGCUCUUUUAGCCACGCCUUCUGAGGCAGCUCUUCUGCAAGUCUGAUUGUAAGCUCCUUGAGGAUGAGAACUGAGUUUUGACUCCCUGUAUAGCCCCAGUAUCUGGUACAUGUUACAGAGGCCUGUUACGAAGCACACGUUUCCAGCUUGUUCCAGUGUCUGGGUCCAACGAUUUUCCCUUUCCUUCCUCCAAUUAGCCACAAGAUGGCAGCCUAAGCCACGCUGGUACUUAAUUUCCUGUGAGGAAGAAGUGGUGCUUUGGGUUAAAAUGCCCUUCUCUGAGCUAGAAGAGGAUCCCUUUGAAGUGAGAUUAAGUCACACAUUACAGAAGAUUUCUCUGAAAAUGUUCUCUGCAUCUUCUCUUCUUCAUUGACUCUGAGGAACAAUCUGGAAUACUAACAAGCAAGACAAAGGAGAGAUUUUCUUCUCCUUGCCUGAGGGACUAUUGGGCUAUUUAGAAAACAGUUCUAGGGAGAGCACGGAGCUCUGAGCUCUGGGAAACAGGGACACCGGGAUGCGGUGGGGGUGUGGGGGGGAGUAUUUACUGACUCCCUCGUCACACUGUUUUGUGUAAACUGUGAGUUCUAGAGGUAAGGUCUAGAGCAGGGGGUCAGCAAACUAUGGCCCUAGGGCCAAAUCUGGGGCUCUGCUUGAUUUCGUAAAUAAAUUUACUUGGGACGCAGCCGUGACCAUUUGUUGACAUGUCGUCAGUCUUUUGCACAACUGUGAAUAGUUGUGACAGAGACCAUUUGGUCUGUAAAGCCAAAAGUAUUUACUAUCUGGUCCUUUCAGACAAAAUUUGGGCCAUGUGGUCUAGAGAGAUGUGAACUUUUUAGAAGACUUAGUAUUUGGUUAGCAUAUUUUGGGGAAAUAAUAUCUGGUUACCUUUUUGGGGAAAGACCUGUCUUUCUUUCCAAGAAGCAAACAUUCUGAGUGGAAAUGAUAUGGAUUCCUUGACGUUUCUUAGAGUUGUACCCGUAUGAGGCAGAAUUAUAUUUAUUAAUUCAUUUCAGGAAUUACGCAUUUAAGUAUACUGUAUCUUUUCUUUGUAAAGUAGAAAAUAUGGGCAUACCUGAGGUAAAUUCCUCGUCGUUUCUUAGCAUGCUUUCCCAUAGCAGGGCUGUGAAGUCACUCUUAUACUAAUUCCUUCAUUGGUCAAGAUACCCACCAACGGCCCCAUAGCCACUUACCUUUCAUUCAAGAAAUGUUCUUGAUGUGGAUGGUGUGGCUUAUUUAUGGGUUUGUAAGUGCUCAGACAUUGCUGAGUCAGAAUCACGUUAAUUUGUUUUGCAAGUUUUAAACAAAUACAUUUUCUGCAGAUUCUCUUCCUGACAAAGCAUUUUGGGUAAAGAUAGUAUACAUUCCUUACAGUUUCUUAGUGUUCUUAUGCUUACAAAAAGAGACAAAUCAAACUUAUUAUUUUUGCGCAUACACGGAUCAGAGAUUAACUGGCCCUUGCUAGAUCCCCUUAGUUGAAGCAGAUGAUUGUGGGCGGAAGGUCUGUUUUUGGCAAGACCUGCAGAAAGGAGCUGCCGGAAGGGAAAAUUCUCAGCUUGGGAGUCCUGAUGGGGAACAAAGCAGGUAUAAAGAGAAAAGAGAGUCCACCCGACUCUCAACUGUACCUUUUCUGUGGAAAGUUUUUCAGGCAGGUAGGGGAAAUUCUUCUGUAUGUUCCAAGGUAGUUAUGGAAUAGGGUUUCCCAUCUACCUAAGAAGGGAAUUGGGCAUGGGAGGCUGUCAGAGUCGUAUACUGUAUCCCGUCUUCUUGGAAUCCUCUCCAGAUUAUUGUAGUUAAAUUUAUUUGAAAAAUAGUAUAUGUUAUUUUCAAAACAUUCUUUUUUCCUUGCAUCCUCUAGCCCUAAUUAUUUAUUUACUUAUUUUUUUUGAGGAAGAUUACCUCCGAGCUAACAUCUGCUGCCAAUCCUCCUCUUUUUGCUGAGGAAGACUGGCCCUGAGCUAACAUCCCUGCCCAUCUUCCUCUACUUUGUAUGUGGGACACCUGCCACAGCAUGGCUUGCCAAGUGGUGUCAUGUCCAUACCUGGGAUCCGAACUGGCGAACCCCAAGCCGCCAAAGGGGAACGUGUGCACUUAACCGCUGUGCCACGGGGCCAGCUCCUAGCCAUAAUUAUUUAUAUGAUUUAUAUUUAAAGAAUUCAGUGUUUUACUUCAUUUCUUUGCUGUUCUAGAGUUCUUAAUGAAGAUGUGUGCUUCAAUGUGCCAAUUUCUUCAAGCACUUUUAACAAUGAAGUCUGGGCCUUUAUUUCAUAUACAGAUAUAACAGUGGACACUUUUUUCCAAUAUGCUGUUAAGAAGCACUGAUAUGGCCCAAGUCAUCCUCACGGGGACAACUCUGUAGCCUUUCCCUGCAACCCUCCUCGUCCCCUCUAAGCUCAUCUUCGCCCUGCAGCCUGAGUGAUCCUGCUUAAGAGAGCCCCUCCUCAGUGGCUUCCCAUGCACCAGAAGAAAAUCUGGGCACUCUACCCCGCCUCACGAAGCCCUUCCAGGGUUCUUUCGGCAUCAUCAUUUGAGAACUUGGAGCAAGACUGUGGUUGAUUUUCUACCCUGUACAAUAAUAAGAUACACAGGUUUAUUUUGCUCCCAGAGUAAAGAUGGUUUUAUGAAGCUACAUCUUCCCUGUGAAGAAUCUACCGUUACAUGGACAAGCAGAAGGAAGCUCUAGACACAGAAAGAAAAACAUAUGCAUACAUUUCUUUGAUGCAAAAUUACAUGUGAAGUCCUGUAUGGACAGCCUUAUAGAAGAUUGGCAUUUAGAAUAGAUCACCAGAGGGUGGCUUUUGACUGUAGAAAAUGUGUGUUUAUGGAGUGCCAGAUGUAAAGGCUGAGAAUCGGAGAGCUGUAUAGAUUGCUCAAAGAACUGCUAAGAGCAAAACACUGCUUUGAGCUUUAGUUGAUACAUUGUGAAGUGUGAUCUCUGAACAGGGAAGCAUUCAUUGAGUUCUUACCAGAUACGACAUAAGGAAAUCGAUCUUAUGGGAGAGUGGAAGGCAGUGUGUCCAAAAGAUGGAACAGGUGUUUUCCUGAAGGCAUUCAUAAUUAAGGAGAGAUAAAACAUAUGUGCACCAUAAGCAGUAUGAGAACCACUAUAAAGAAGGGAGACUAGAAAUACCAGGGCACCCAGUGUAUGUGUGCUGAGGGGUAAAGACAGAUGGAGAGGGAUGACAGGCUCCUGGGGGAAGAUUCUCACAGAAGGUCAAUUCUGAGCUGGGGUUUAAAUGAUUCACAUUGUUGUAAAUGAAAAGGAGGUCAUCUGGGGAGGAGACAACUGCUUGAGCAAAGGUAGUGAGGUGGAUCCUAACGAAGUACAUACAAGAGAAAGCUCAGAAGGACAGAAGCUGGGGGGCCAUGUCGACAAAGAAAGUUGUGCUUCCUUAAUGUACUGUCAAAUAUCUAGAUAAGGACGAGAGUUCUGAAAACAAAUAGAAAUGUACAAGAAACGUACUAAUGCUUAA